UACGAGGGGUGCAAGCGUUAUUCGGAUUAACUGGGCGUAAAGGGUGCGUAGGUGGCAUUUCAAGUCUGUUGUUAAAUCCUUCAGCUCAACUGAAGGCUCGCAGUGGAUACUGAUAUGCUAGAGUGUGGAAGAGAGAAGUGGAAUUCUCGGAGUAGCGGUAAAAUGCGUAGAUCUCGAGAGGAACACCAAUGGCGAAGGCAGCUUCUUGGUCCACUACUGACACUGAGGCACGAAAGCGUGGGGAGCAAACAGG
This 253-nucleotide unclassified non-coding RNA is filed under the name uncultured bacterium. RNAcentral's name for it is "contains 16S-23S intergenic spacer region". It matches the Rfam family "Bacterial small subunit ribosomal RNA", at positions 524 to 776 of the family's 1533-position model. The record is from RNAcentral.